Molecule: ribosomal RNA, 390 nt
Filed under: Triticum aestivum (bread wheat)
Lineage: Eukaryota; Viridiplantae; Streptophyta; Magnoliopsida; Poales; Poaceae
Description: partial small subunit ribosomal RNA
Source: RNAcentral
AUGGUACUACAGGCACAAAACAAUGGCUUGAUUGAUGGGUUAGCAUCUGAUUUGGUGGAUAAAGGAGUGGCUAUUCUGCAAUAUGCAGAUGACACAGUGUUGUGUGUGGAACAUAACCUUGAAAAAACACUCAAUUUGAAGCUGUUGCUUUACAUGUUCGAACUCAUGUCUGGUUUAAAAAUCAACUUUCAGAAGAGUGAAAUCCUUUGUGUUGGAGGGGAUGAUAAUAUCCUGGAGGAAUAUGCUAACACUUUCGGGUGCCAGAUCGGCCAUUUCCUGAUGAAAUACCUAGGGGUUCCUGUUAGUUACUCCUCCUUGAGAGGGGUGGACUGGGAUUUCCUAGAAGCUAAAUAUAUUAAGAGAUGUGAGUCUGGUCUUGGGAGUAAUGGU